This 377-nucleotide ribosomal RNA is filed under the name uncultured eukaryote. Its description in RNAcentral is "partial 18S ribosomal RNA". It matches the Rfam family "Eukaryotic small subunit ribosomal RNA", at positions 592 to 976 of the family's 1831-position model. The record is from RNAcentral.
CAAUAGCGUAUAUUAAAGUUGUUGCAGUUAAAAAGCUCGUAGUUGGAUUUCGGGGCAGCCUGGCUGGUCCGCCGCAAGGCGAGUACUGGUCAGCCGCCCUUCCUCUCGAAAGCCCCGACUGCUCUUCGUUGCAGUGGUCGGGUAGUUCGGGACGUUUACUUUGAAAAAAUUAGAGUGUUCAAGGCAGGCCUACGCCUGAAUACAUUAGCAUGGAAUAAUGGAAGAGGACCUCGGUCCUAUUUUGUUGGUUUCCAGGGCCGAAGUAAUGAUUAAGAGGGACAGUUGGGGGCAUUCGUAUUUAAUUGUCAGAGGUGAAAUUCUCGGAUUUAUGAAAGACAAACAACUGCGAAAGCAUUUGCCAAGGAUGUUUUCAUUAA